Molecule: ribosomal RNA, 244 nt
Filed under: uncultured archaeon
Lineage: Archaea
Description: partial 16S ribosomal RNA
Rfam family: Archaeal small subunit ribosomal RNA
Source: RNAcentral
CGAAAUUCUCGCUGGUGUCUGCAUGGCGCGACCGUGUCUGGUGCCGCAGGGAAGCCGUGAAGCGAGCCACCUGGGAAGUACGGCCGCAAGGCUGAUACUUAAAGGAAUUGGCGGGGGAGCACAACAACGGGUGGAGCCUGCGGUUUAAUUGGACUCAACGCCGGACAACUCACCGGGGACGACAGCAAAAUGUAGGCCAGGCUGAAGACCUUGCCUGAAUCGCUGAGAGGAGGUGCAUGGCCUC